CCUACGGGUGGCUGCAGUGGGGAAUAUUGGACAAUGGGGGGAACCCUGAUCCAGCGACGCCGCGUGAGUGAAGAAGUAUUUCGGUAUGUAAAGCUCUAUCAGCAGGGAAGAAAAUGACGGUACCUGACUAAGAAGCCCCGUCUAACUACGUGCCAGCAGCCGCGGCAAUACGGAGGGGGCCAGCGUUAUCCGGAUUUACUGGGUGUAAAGGGAGCGUAGAGGGUUUUGCAAGUCUGAAGUGAAAGGCCAAGGCUCAACCAUGGGACUGCUUUGGAAACUGUAAAACUGGAGUGCAGGAGAGGUAAGCGGAAUUCCUAGUGUAGCGGUGAAAUGCGUAGAUAUUAGGAGGAACACCAGUGGCGAAGGCAGCUUACUGGACUGUCACUGACGUUGAGGCUCGAAGGCGUGGGGAGCAAACAGGAUUAGAUACCCCAGUAGUC
RNAcentral lists this ribosomal RNA (440 nucleotides) under uncultured bacterium. Its description in RNAcentral is "partial 16S ribosomal RNA". It matches the Rfam family "Bacterial small subunit ribosomal RNA", at positions 338 to 795 of the family's 1533-position model. The record is from RNAcentral.